CAGUAGCCGCGGUAAUACGGAGGGAGCUAGCGUUGUUCGGAAUCACUGGGCGUAAAGGGUGCGUAGGCGGGAUCUUAAGUCAGGGGUGAAAUCCCGAGGCUCAACCUCGGAACUGCCUUUGAUACUGGGGUCCUUGAGACCGGAAGAGGUGAGUGGAACUGCGAGUGUAGAGGUGAAAUUCGUAGAUAUUCGCAAGAACACCGGUGGCGAAGGCGGCUCACUGGUCCGGAACUGACGCUGAGGCACGACAGCGUGGGGAGCAAACAGGAUUAGAUACCCCGGUAGUCCCUGUCUCUUAUAC
RNAcentral lists this ribosomal RNA (301 nucleotides) under uncultured bacterium. Its description in RNAcentral is "partial 16S ribosomal RNA". It matches the Rfam family "Bacterial small subunit ribosomal RNA", at positions 509 to 807 of the family's 1533-position model. The record is from RNAcentral.